Molecule: ribosomal RNA, 433 nt
Filed under: uncultured bacterium
Lineage: Bacteria
Description: partial 16S ribosomal RNA
Rfam family: Bacterial small subunit ribosomal RNA
Source: RNAcentral
AACGAACGCUGGCGGCAUGCCUAACACAUGCAAGUCGAACGAGACCUUCGGGUCUAGUGGCGCACGGGUGCGUAACGCGUGGGAACCUGCCUUUAGGUUCGGAAUAACUCAGAGAAAUUUGAGCUAAUACCGGAUGAUGUCUUCGGACCAAAGAUUUAUCGCCUUUAGAUGGGCCCGCGUUGGAUUAGCUAGUUGGUGGGGUAAAGGCCUACCAAGGCGACGAUCCAUAGCUGGUCUGCGAGGAUGAUCAGCCACACUGGGACUGAGACACGGCCCAGACUCCUACGGGAGGCAGCAGUGGGGAAUAUUGGACAAUGGGCGAAAGCCUGAUCCAGCAAUGCCGCGUGAGUGAUGAAGGCCUUAGGGUUGUAAAGCUCUUUUACCCGAGAUGAUAAUGACAGUAUCGGGAGAAUAAGCUCCGGCUAACUCCGUG